UUUCGCUGCUAGGGGUGCAAAAUUUGCUGAGAGAGACAGUAGUCUUAACCCUUAAAACCUGAUCUAGUUCGUACUAGCGUAGGGAAGAAGUGUAAAAAUCUA
This 102-nucleotide non-coding RNA is filed under the name Halalkalibacter krulwichiae. RNAcentral describes it as "Bacillus krulwichiae TPP sequence". It matches the Rfam family "TPP riboswitch aptamer (THI element)". Rfam says of the family: Vitamin B(1) in its active form thiamin pyrophosphate (TPP) is an essential coenzyme that is synthesised by coupling of pyrimidine and thiazole moieties in bacteria. The previously detected thiamin-regulatory element, thi box was extended, resulting in a new, highly conserved RNA secondary structure, the THI element, which is widely distributed in eubacteria and also occurs in some archaea. Analysis of operon structures identified a large number of new candidate thiamin-regulated genes, mostly transporters, in various prokaryotic organisms. Lineage: Bacteria; Bacillati; Bacillota; Bacilli; Caryophanales; Bacillaceae. The record is from Rfam by way of RNAcentral.